Molecule: ribosomal RNA, 737 nt
Filed under: uncultured bacterium
Lineage: Bacteria
Description: bacterial SSU rRNA
Rfam family: Bacterial small subunit ribosomal RNA
Source: RNAcentral
GAUGAACGCUGGCGGCGUGCUUAACACAUGCAAGUCGAGCGAGAAGACUUUGACAGAUCCUUCGGGUGAUGGAUGAGUUGGAAAGCGGCGGACGGGUGAGUAACGCGUGGGCAACCUGCCCCAUACAGGAGGAUAGCCACUGGAAACGGUGAUUAAUACUCCAUAAGACCACAGCACCACAUGGUGCAGAGGUAAAAACUCCGGUGGUAUGGGAUGGGCCCGCGUCUGAUUAGCUAGUUGGUAAGGUAACGGCUUACCAAGGCGACGAUCAGUAGCCGACCUGAGAGGGUGAUCGGCCACACUGGAACUGAGACACGGUCCAGACUCCUACGGGAGGCAGCAGUGGGGAAUAUUGCACAAUGGGCGAAAGCCUGAUGCAGCAACGCCGCGUGAACGAUGAAGGCCUUCGGGUUGUAAAGUUCUUUUCUUGGAGAAGAAUAAAUGACGGUAUCCAAGGAAUAAGCCCCGGCUAACUACGUGCCAGCAGCCGCGGUAAUACGUAGGGGGCAAGCGUUAUCCGGAAUCACUGGGCGUAAAGGGAGUGUAGGCGGUCAAGCAAGUCAGAGGUGAAAGGCAUCGGCUCAACCGGUGUAAGCCUUUGAAACUGUUUGACUUGAGUGCAGGANAGGUAAGUGGAAUUCCUAGUGUAGCGGUGAAAUGCGUAAAUUUUAGGAGGAACCCCGUGGCGANGCGAUUACUGGACUGUACUUGACCUGAGCUCGAAGCGUGGGGGCGAC